This 76-nucleotide transfer RNA is filed under the name Faucicola atlantae. Its description in RNAcentral is "Moraxella atlantae tRNA-Arg". It matches the Rfam family "tRNA". From Rfam's summary of the family: Transfer RNA (tRNA) molecules are approximately 80 nucleotides in length. Their secondary structure includes four short double-helical elements and three loops (D, anti-codon, and T loops). The record is from RNAcentral. Lineage: Bacteria; Pseudomonadati; Pseudomonadota; Gammaproteobacteria; Moraxellales; Moraxellaceae.
ACGCCUAUAGCUCAACAGGAUAGAGCAGUCGCCUCCUAAGCGACAGAUUCAAGUUCGAGCCUUGAUGGGCGUACAA